RNAcentral lists this transfer RNA (131 nucleotides) under Bacteroides uniformis. Its description in RNAcentral is "tRNA-OTHER". It matches the Rfam family "tRNA". Rfam says of the family: Transfer RNA (tRNA) molecules are approximately 80 nucleotides in length. The record is from RNAcentral. Lineage: Bacteria; Pseudomonadati; Bacteroidota; Bacteroidia; Bacteroidales; Bacteroidaceae. RNAcentral also lists the same sequence under 2 other names.
GGGAACGUAGCUCAGUGGAUAGAGCACCGUGUGUGGUGGAAGGUUGAGAGUUCGAUUCUCUCAAGUAGAUUCUUAGCUUAAUGGGAGAGCACCACAAGCGGCGGUCGGUGGUUCGAAUCCAUCCGUUUCUA